This is a non-coding RNA of Arvicanthis niloticus (Nile rat), 375 nucleotides long. The record is from the annotation of a RefSeq genome assembly. NCBI's taxonomy places the organism in Eukaryota, Metazoa, Chordata, Mammalia, Rodentia, Muridae.
AUGAAGUUGCCUGGUAGACUGUUGGUGCUGUUGUUCUGGAUUCCUGCUUCCAGCAGUGAUGUUGUUCUGACCCAAACUCCAGUUUCCCUGCCUGUCAGCCUUGGAGAUCAAGCCGCUAUCUCCUGCAGGUCUAGUCAGAGCAUUGUGCACAGUGAUGGAAACACCUAUUUGUAUUGGUACCUGCAGAAGCCAGGCCAGUCUCCACAGCUCCUGAUCUAUGAGGUUUCCAAUAGAUAUUCUGGGGUCCCAGAAAGGUUCAGUGGCAGUGGGUCAAGGACAGAUUUCACACUCAAGAUCAGCAGAGUGGAGCCUGAGUAUUUGGGAGUUUAUUACUGCUUACAAGCGUUGAAGACCUGUAGUCUCAUAGCCAAUCCU